AACGCUGGCGGCGUGCCUAAUACAUGCAAGUCGAACGAACGGAUAAAGAGCUUGCUCUUUUGAAGUUAGUGGCGGACGGGUGAGUAACACGUGGGUAACCUGCCUCACAGCUGGGGAUAACAUCGAGAAAUCGAUGCUAAUACCGAAUGUGCUGAACAUCAUAAGAUGUUCAAGUGAAAGACGGUUUCGGCUGUCACUGUGAGAUGGACCCGCGCUGGAUUAGCUAGUUGGUAAGGUAAUGGCUUACCAAGGCGACGAUCCAUAGCCGACCUGAGAGGGUGAUCGGCCACAUUGGGACUGAGACACGGCCCAAACUCCUACGGGAGACAGCAGUAGGGAAUCUUCGGCAAUGGACGAAAGUCUGACCGAGCAACGCCGCGUGAGCGAAGAAGGCCUUCGGUCGUAAAGCUCUGUUGUUAGAGAAGAACAUGGGUGAGAGUAACUGUUCACCCCUUGACGGUAUCUAACCAGAAAGCCACGGCUAACUACGUG
This 492-nucleotide ribosomal RNA is filed under the name uncultured bacterium. RNAcentral describes it as "bacterial SSU rRNA". It matches the Rfam family "Bacterial small subunit ribosomal RNA", at positions 32 to 507 of the family's 1533-position model. The record is from RNAcentral.